This is a long non-coding RNA of Anopheles stephensi (Asian malaria mosquito), 715 nucleotides long. RefSeq lists it as uncharacterized. Lineage: Eukaryota; Metazoa; Arthropoda; Insecta; Diptera; Culicidae. The transcript has 2 exons. The record is from RefSeq and is a predicted model, not a curated record.
CCAAACACGAUUAAACCGAGAGAAAAAGGGGAAAAAUGGUUCGUGGAUGUUAGGCUUUUUCAUGUUUCCGGUUCCCUUUUUUCUACUGCAAUAAGUUGCAUUUUUCGUUAUAGUUUUCGACUAUAUGAGAUGUCUUCGUUUGGCUGUGAUUGACUUACAAAUGGAGUGGCGAGUGCAUUUUUCUUAACUGUUGUUUGUGUUGCCAUGUAAGCGUGUAUGUGCGUUAAGUCCCAUUUGAAGAGCAUCCAGGAUCAUCUUGCACUCUGUUUCCUUAGUGAACAGCUAGCCAUCUAACAGAAAAAGAACAACGAACAACGAUGCAAACAGACAGUCCCAGGCCCACUUCCGGCUUCCGUUUUCCUGACCUAUGAUUCUGACGUGACCAGUUUGACGUGAGUGACGUGAGCGUCUGUGGGGGGGUUUUUGGGGGUUUGGGAACAUCUCUCCGUCUCUCUAAGUGAACGGCUAAAUACAUUAUGCUAUUUUGGGGCAGCAAGGAUCGAGGACGUUAAAGGGAGAUGGAGGGAUCUUGCGCGGUUUCCAUUAUUCUAAUAUAGUUUUGCUGUAUCUCUCUCCCUCCCUCCCUCCCUCCCUCUCUCUCUCUACGGGUUCCAUUCGUCUCGUGAUUUUUUUGCGGCUCUUUGUCGGAGCAGAAAUGAGGAAUGUUUUGUUUGUUUGCUGCUUUAGUUAUGAAUAUUAUGAUAUACUCUGGGGC